This is a long non-coding RNA of Passer montanus (Eurasian tree sparrow), 980 nucleotides long. RefSeq lists it as uncharacterized. Lineage: Eukaryota; Metazoa; Chordata; Aves; Passeriformes; Passeridae. The transcript is spliced from 8 exons. The record is from RefSeq and is a predicted model, not a curated record.
GGGGAGCAGGGCAUGUGGAUGGGCUCCAGAAGCACAGAUCAGAGCUGGGGAAACCUGUCCCAGCCUACAGAACACUGCUCCUGAGCGAGGCCAUUCUCUGGAGGUACCAGCGGGAGAUGCUGUUGGACUCCUGGGAGUUGGGUAAUUCACCCUCCCCCAGUGCCAAAGCCAGGUCAGCCUGAGGAAGUGCUGCUGACAGCACAGCUGGAAAAGAAGGCGUCAGAUCCAUGGAGAGAAGCUGGACCAUAUCUUUGAGAAGCCAGUGCAGUAAAAUUUUUAAGAAAUUUUUGAACACUGGAAGAUAAAACAACUCUAGGCUGACCCUUUUUUGACCUACUUCCUCUAAAGUUCUGCAUGUAUCAGUUCCUGUAGUCUUAUCUGGCUCUUCGAGCUGAGCUCCUCAGAAACCUCGAGCAACCAUAGUCCUGCUGCUUCCUGAAAGGAGCGGGGGAGUGCGGAGGCCUGAGCCCUCAGAAGUGCCCAUGAGCAGGAGUUUCUCAUGCCAUGCUGAAAACUGGAACUGAGUCUUAACACUUAUUGGGAUAACAAGUGGUUAAGGUCAUGGAUUUAAAGCACUUCUCUUGACUAAACCCAAAGCAGUCAUUUAUCAGAGCAUCCCCCGAACUUCACACAUGAACUCCCCUCUCCUUGGGAAGAGUCCUUGAAUUCUACACGGGGUCUGUGCACCAAUAACUGCAGGAGGUGCAAGCAGUGCUCAUUUACAGAACUGCCUCUCUAAGGAAGGAGCCUUUUGUAUACCUCUCCUUGAAGCCACUUUGACCGAACAGGAGUAGCUACAGUGUUCACUGGAACACAGCAGCUCUGGAACACUUUCCAGUGAAGGACAUGAAUCCCAGGUUGUUACCCAAAGGCUGAGAACAGAGGAUGUGUUGAUUACAAGAAGAUGAGUAAAACCUACCUGUUUUAGUCCUUCAUGUAUGUAUGUCUCACCUGCUGGUGUCACCUCCUCCAGAUCCUUU